This 506-nucleotide ribosomal RNA is filed under the name uncultured bacterium. RNAcentral's name for it is "bacterial SSU rRNA". It matches the Rfam family "Bacterial small subunit ribosomal RNA", at positions 8 to 507 of the family's 1533-position model. The record is from RNAcentral.
AGAGUUUGAUCAUGGCUCAGAUUGAACGCUGGCGGCAUGCUUUACACAUGCAAGUCGAACGGCAGCGGGGGGCUUCGGCCUGCCGGCGAGUGGCGAACGGGUGAGUAAUGCAUCGGAACGUGCCCAUGUCGUGGGGGAUAACGUAGCGAAAGCUACGCUAAUACCGCAUACGUCCUGAGGGAGAAAGCGGGGGAUCUUCGGACCUCGCGCGAUUGGAGCGGCCGAUGUCGGAUUAGCUAGUAGGUGGGGUAAAGGCCCACCUAGGCGACGAUCCGUAGCGGGUCUGAGAGGAUGAUCCGCCACACUGGGACUGAGACACGGCCCAGACUCCUACGGGAGGCAGCAGUGGGGAAUUUUGGACAAUGGGCGCAAGCCUGAUCCAGCCAUGCCGCGUGAGUGAAGAAGGCCUUCGGGUUGUAAAGCUCUUUCGGCCGGGAAGAAAUCGUGGUCUCUAACAUAGGCCAUGGAUGACGGUACCGGACUAAGAAGCACCGGCUAACUACGUG